CAGCCGCCACGGGAAUACGAAGGGGGCUAGCGUUGCUCGGAAUGACUGGGCGUAAAGGGCGCGUAGGCGGCGGCCAAAGUCAGGCGUGAAAUUCCCGGGCUCAACCUGGGGGCUGCGUUUGAUACUUGGUUGCUUGAGUGGGGAAGAGGGUCGUGGAAUUCCCAGUGUAGAGGUGAAAUUCGUAGACAUUGGGAAGAACACCGGUGGCGAAGGCGGCGACCUGGUCCUUUACUGACGCUGAGGCGCGAAAGCGUGGGGAGCAAACAGGAUUAGAUACCCCAGUAGUCCCUGUCUCUUAUAC
RNAcentral lists this ribosomal RNA (301 nucleotides) under uncultured bacterium. RNAcentral's name for it is "partial 16S ribosomal RNA". It matches the Rfam family "Bacterial small subunit ribosomal RNA", at positions 509 to 807 of the family's 1533-position model. The record is from RNAcentral.